RNAcentral lists this ribosomal RNA (253 nucleotides) under uncultured bacterium. RNAcentral describes it as "partial 16S ribosomal RNA". It matches the Rfam family "Bacterial small subunit ribosomal RNA", at positions 524 to 776 of the family's 1533-position model. The record is from RNAcentral.
UACGGAGGGAGCUAGCGUUGUUCGGAAUUACUGGGCGUAAAGAGCGCGUAGGCGGAACGUUAAGUCCGAUCUGAAAGCCCCCGGCUCAACCGGGGAGGGUGGUUGGAAACUGGCGUUCUUGAGGGCGAUAGAGGAAGGUGGAAUUCCUGGUGUAGCGGUGAAAUGCGUAGAGAUCAGGAGGAACACCAGUGGCGAAGGCGGCCUUCUGGGUCGACCCUGACGCUGAGGCGCGAAAGCGUGGGGAGCAAACAGG